Molecule: small RNA, 16 nt
Filed under: Arabidopsis thaliana (thale cress)
Lineage: Eukaryota; Viridiplantae; Streptophyta; Magnoliopsida; Brassicales; Brassicaceae
Description: ATSL013040
Source: RNAcentral
UUUUUUUUCUGUUUUU